RNAcentral lists this long non-coding RNA (752 nucleotides) under Crocodylus porosus (Australian saltwater crocodile). RNAcentral describes it as "lncRNA (ENSCPRG00005014834.1)". Lineage: Eukaryota; Metazoa; Chordata; Crocodylia; Crocodylidae. The record is from RNAcentral.
CAUAUUCGUGCGAGUCCCGCGGGAAAAAUAACGCACGGGCAGCCAGCACGGGUUGUGGCAGGUGGGUCGUGCCUGGCCCCGCUUUAUGGCGGGGUCGCAACAGCUCAGGCGCAGGAGGAGAGGUGGAGGAUGUCCCUUUCUUGGGCGUUAGCAAGGCCUUCGGCUUAUCUCAAGCAACCUGACAGCAAAUGCCCAGCCGAAGCAUAGCCGAGGCUUUGGAAGUGGCCCAGGUGGUUGCUGCCUGGGGGAUGGCUCGCAUUGCUGCGGUGCCACCCAGCACCCAGGGAAUUCAUCAGGCUUGUUGCAAAGCACAUGGAAGAGGGGGAAAAAACAUGACUGAGGCGAUUAAGACCUGGUUAAUGUGAGAAGCCUAUCAACGUCCUCAGCCCAGCCAAGCAGGUGGAGCUGACUUUUGCCUCCUCUCCCCUCUCCUGCCAAGUCUUAAACAGCUGGGAGCACAGCUACACCGAGCCCCAUCACAGGGGGACAUUACUGGCCUGGACUUUAUUCUCUUUGCAUGUAACACCUGUAAUGAAGUUGUGAUCCCCUGAACCACCCAUUUUUCUGCCUGAGGUCAGUCCUUAUCAGGCGUAGAGGAUGCAACCGGUUGAGUUAGGAAACUGCUAUCGAUCAAGGACAUUUCCGUAGCCACUCAAGACUGAAGUGCCCCCUGGCCACACAGCCUUUUCCUACACAUUAUUGAUAGGAGUGAGCUGCCCUGGUCUCCUGCCUGAUUUACCCAGUACCCCAGU